RNAcentral lists this small RNA (567 nucleotides) under Pongo abelii (Sumatran orangutan). Its description in RNAcentral is "sense overlapping". Lineage: Eukaryota; Metazoa; Chordata; Mammalia; Primates; Hominidae. The record is from RNAcentral.
AAAUCCGGCACGAGGGGCAUCUGGGAACAGGGUUUCUGCCAGCCCCACCUUGGGGCCGCAUUUGGCGGGAACUGGAUCUGCCUUCACCUGCAGCCCUGUUGGGGGCGUGACGGAAAGAGCGGGGAGAGGGGCGUCCUGGUGCGGGGGUUGUGGAGCUUGGACACCAGCCCUGAAGCAGGGAAAAGACAGAUGUACUAAUUGUCAUGGAUGGCAAACUGUGCCCCCAAACUUGUACCAAGCCUCAAAGACUCGGUUUAAUACUCCUGAAGGAGUAAUAGACCCAAUAUGACAUUUUGCAUGCAGGAACCCCUUAACAGCUACUUCCAAAUUAUGCGUGCUUCAUGAAUGGAGACACCUACAUUAUAUGAAGUUCUCUAUUGGGCUGUAAACUUCCUGAGACAGGCCUUCUGGGAAGUUCCUCUCUACAUCCCAGGACUGCAAUGCCCAGUGCAGACCCGUGCAUUUAGAUGUUUCCAAAAUAGCAGUUGUUUCCUCGGCAUUAUGUUCUGCUGGUCUAGAGGUCUUAGUUCCAGAGGGAGGAACGCUGCCACCAAGAGACACAACAAU